GGGGAUUUAGCUCAGUGGUAGAGCACUUGCCUAACAAGCUGGGUUCAGUCCCCA
RNAcentral lists this transfer RNA (54 nucleotides) under Rattus norvegicus (Norway rat). It matches the Rfam family "tRNA". From Rfam's summary of the family: Transfer RNA (tRNA) molecules are approximately 80 nucleotides in length. The record is from Rfam by way of RNAcentral. Lineage: Eukaryota; Metazoa; Chordata; Mammalia; Rodentia; Muridae.